This 416-nucleotide ribosomal RNA is filed under the name uncultured bacterium. Its description in RNAcentral is "bacterial SSU rRNA". It matches the Rfam family "Bacterial small subunit ribosomal RNA", at positions 8 to 422 of the family's 1533-position model. The record is from RNAcentral.
AGAGUUUGAUCCUGGCUCAGAUUGAACGCUGGCGGCACGCCUUACACAUGCAAGUCGAACGGCAGCGCGGGGGGUAACUCCUGGCGGCGAGUGGCGAACGGGUGAGUAAUAUAUCGGAACGUGCCCUGGAGUGGGGGAUAACUAGUCGAAAGAUUAGCUAAUACCGCAUACGAUCUACGGAUGAAAGUGGGGGAUUCGCAAGAACCUCAUGCUCGUGGAGCGGCCGAUAUCUGAUUAGCUAGUUGGUAGGGUAAAAGCCUACCAAGGCGACGAUCAGUAGCUGGUUUGAGAGAACGACCAGCCACACUGGGACUGAGACACGGCCCAGACUCCUACGGGAGGCAGCAGUGGGGAAUUUUGGACAAUGGGGGCAACCCUGAUCCAGCAAUGCCGCGUGUGUGAAGAAGGCCUUCGGG